ACAUCCCCUUGCCCAGCCCCGACUCACUUCCGCUCUCGCCUCUCUCCUCGUCGGCUCUGUUGCGCAGUCUCCACCCCCUCAUCACUGCACCCAAUGCCCACCCUCGCGUCGCUCUACCAAAAUGUUCGUCCGCGUGUCGAGAGAGCGGAAUGGCGGGUGACGGGUCUCGUCUAUGCCAUCCUGCAGUUCAUCGCGUUCUUCUUCGUGCUGGUCGCUACGCCGAUCGACAUGUUUCGCAGCCGAAAGGAUUUUCCGGUACGAGAACCCAAUCUGUGUUACACGUUAUGGGGCUUUAAAUAUGACUGCCGCAACACGAGCUACUCACUUACAUAUGAGUCGAUGAUGAAGGGUUGUCCUAACCGCCUCCGCCUCUUCCGCCUUGCACAGGCAUUCGCUGUCAUCUCCAUAUUCGUGUACGGCACGGCGUUCGUCUUGGGCCUCAUUGCGCUGUGCUGCUGCGCCUGCCUCCGCUGGGUCUGCCUGGCGCUCAACGUUGCCGGCGUCGCCACCCUGUGCAUCGUCUGGGCGUCCAUGGUGGUGAUCUACUACAAGGAUGAGGGCUUCGCUUGCUCACCUUUCCGAGACUUCUUCAGUUACGGUGCCGGCUUCGCUCUCUUGGUGGUGGCCUGGUGCCUGGAUAUCAUCAACGUCGGCCUCUUGCUGCUCCCCUUCGAGGCUACCCUCUCUCUUGGCAGUGCAAAGGAGGAGUCCUCCACACGGUCCGGAGAGGAGGCUGUGAAGUGAAGUGAAGGAAGCGGCGGGCGAGCCUGACAGCAGCGCGGCACACACACCGUGACGCCCUCGUGGAGGAGCCGGCGGAGCUGAUCGCAGCGAGAGAGAGGGAGCGGAUGCCGCUGACCCUCGCCGGCCCACCUCUCUCGCUGCCUUCUCGUGCGUGCGUGUGCGCUUCCUCUGGGGUCGUUCUCCCCUCCCUCCAAAUGCCGGUGCCGUGCACGGCGACCUGCGCUGUGUGGUGAGCAACGCGCGCCUGGCGCCGACAAGCCCAUCCAUGCCCCGUCCCCCCUCUGAGCCCCUCGCCUUGGCUGCCGUGUCGGAGCCACGCCCCCCCCACUCACGCUCGCCCGGCGCACCGCCGCCGAGGCGGGGGAGCGAAGGAAGACGCGGGACGCCGGCGCGUGCGCUGCCGCUCCCCCUCCCCUCACGCACGCCUCACGCGCUACCUGAGCGGCGAAGGGCGAGGAUGGGGAGGGGGAGUGGAGGGCGAGGUGCCACAGGAGAGGGAGUGGCGGGGAGGUGUGGGAAUGAGGCGGGCUGGUGGGCAGGCGCGUCGGGGCAGGGAGAGGACGGCGUCUGUGCGCACGCGCACCCACGCGCGCCGGUGCACAAGAGGGCACCUCCCACACGGCGUGUGCAUGCGCGCAGGCACAUGCGCCCCCGUCACCCUCCUCCUCCUUUCUCCGUGGAUCCCCCGCCACCUCGCCCUUCUUCUGUCGCUGCCACUCCCCCACGCCCCUGGCGGCACACCCGCGACGGGAAGAGGCACCACAGCGGCACGAAGACGCAGGCCGAGCACGGUCCCCCCCCUCCUACACACACGCGCACGCGCACGCGUAUGCUGCCGGUGUUUCCGUUUCUGUUUUCGUGCUUUCGCUUGAUUUGACGCUCGCAUGUUUCCUUCGAUUUCUCUCGUUUUCGUCUCUCUCCCUAUGCAG
Molecule: unclassified non-coding RNA, 1673 nt
Filed under: Leishmania donovani
Lineage: Eukaryota; Euglenozoa; Kinetoplastea; Trypanosomatida; Trypanosomatidae
Description: gene:LdHU3.34.0770(CDS-product:Amastin_surface_gl ycoprotein_putative)
Source: RNAcentral